UACGGAGGGGGCUAGCGUUGUUCGGAAUUACUGGGCGUAAAGCGCACGUAGGCGGCUUUGUAAGUUAGAGGUGAAAGCCCGAGGCUCAACUCCGGAAUUGCCUUUAAGACUGCAUCGCUAGAAUUGUGGAGAGGUAAGUGGAAUUCCGAGUGUAGAGGUGAAAUUCGUAGAUAUUCGGAAGAACACCAGUGGCGAAGGCGACUUACUGGUCCGGUUCUGACGCUGAGGCGCGAAAGCGUGGGGAGCAAACAGG
This 253-nucleotide ribosomal RNA is filed under the name uncultured bacterium. RNAcentral describes it as "partial 16S ribosomal RNA". It matches the Rfam family "Bacterial small subunit ribosomal RNA", at positions 524 to 776 of the family's 1533-position model. The record is from RNAcentral.